CCUACGGGAGACAGCAGUGGGGAAUAGUGCACAAUGGGGGAAACCCUGAUGCAGCGACGCCGCGUGAGUGAAGAAGGAAUUCGUUAUGUAAAGCUCUAGCAGCAGGGAAGAAAAUGACGGUACCUGAGUAAGAAGCCCCGGCUAACGACGUGCCAGCAGCCGCGGUAAUACGUAGGGGGCAAGCGUUAUCCGGAUUUACUGGGUGUAAAGGGAGCGUAGACGGCAGUGCAAGUCUGGAGUGAAAGGCGGGGGCUCAACCCCCGGACUGCUCUGGAAACUGUACGGCUGGAGGGCAGGAGAGGUAAGUGGACUUCCUAGUGUAGCGGUGACAUUCGUAGAUAUUAGGAG
Molecule: ribosomal RNA, 348 nt
Filed under: uncultured bacterium
Lineage: Bacteria
Description: partial 16S ribosomal RNA
Rfam family: Bacterial small subunit ribosomal RNA
Source: RNAcentral